CUCGACAAGCAGAUGUGUUUCCAGAUCGAGACCACUUUGGCCGUACAUUCUAUAAUCAGGCAAUUAUGUCUUCUAAAAAUAUUGCACAG
RNAcentral lists this unclassified non-coding RNA (89 nucleotides) under Homo sapiens (human). RNAcentral describes it as "methylcrotonyl-CoA carboxylase subunit 2 (ENSG00000275300.4, ENSG00000281742.2)". The record is from RNAcentral. Lineage: Eukaryota; Metazoa; Chordata; Mammalia; Primates; Hominidae.